ACAGAGGUCCCGAGCGUCGUUCGGAUUCACUGGGCGUAAAGGGUGCGCAGGUGGCUUGACAAGUUUGAUGUGAAAUCUCCGGGCCCAACCCGGAAAAUGCAUUGAAUACUGUUGAGCUUGAGGUUUGGAGGGGGGACUGGAAUUCUCGGUGUAGCAGUGAAAUGCGUAGAUAUCGAGAGGAACACCAGUGGCGAAGGCGAGUCCCUGGACAACACCUGACACUGAGGCACGAAAGCCGGGGGAGCAAACAGGA
RNAcentral lists this ribosomal RNA (253 nucleotides) under uncultured prokaryote. Its description in RNAcentral is "partial 16S ribosomal RNA". It matches the Rfam family "Bacterial small subunit ribosomal RNA", at positions 525 to 777 of the family's 1533-position model. The record is from RNAcentral.